UACGGAGGAUGCGAGCGUUAUCCGGAUUUAUUGGGUUUAAAGGGUGCGUAGGCGGACCGAUAAGUCAGUGGUGAAAACCUGCAGCUUAACUGUAGACGUGCCAUUGAUACUGUCGGACUUGAGUGUGGUCAAGGUAGGCGGAAUGUGUAAUGUAGCGGUGAAAUGCUUAGAUAUUACACAGAACACCGAUUGCGAAGGCAGCUUGCUGGACCAUUACUGACGCUGAUGCACGAAAGCGUGGGGAGCGAACAGG
RNAcentral lists this ribosomal RNA (253 nucleotides) under uncultured bacterium. RNAcentral describes it as "partial 16S ribosomal RNA". It matches the Rfam family "Bacterial small subunit ribosomal RNA", at positions 524 to 776 of the family's 1533-position model. The record is from RNAcentral.